GACGAACCCUUGCCUGCUGCCUAAUACAUGCAAGUCGAACAAGUUCUGAUUAUUGAAAGGUGCUUGCAUCUUGAUUUAAUUUUGAACGAGUGGCGGACGGGCGAGUAACACGUGGGUAACCUGCCCUAAAGUGGGGGAAAGGUAAGGA
This 148-nucleotide ribosomal RNA is filed under the name uncultured Corynebacterium sp. RNAcentral describes it as "partial 16S ribosomal RNA". Lineage: Bacteria; Bacillati; Actinomycetota; Actinomycetes; Mycobacteriales; Corynebacteriaceae. The record is from RNAcentral.